RNAcentral lists this ribosomal RNA (391 nucleotides) under uncultured bacterium. Its description in RNAcentral is "bacterial SSU rRNA". It matches the Rfam family "Bacterial small subunit ribosomal RNA", at positions 30 to 424 of the family's 1533-position model. The record is from RNAcentral.
AUUGAACGCUGGCGGCAUGCCUUACACAUGCAAGUCGAACGGCAGCGCGGGGCAACCUGGCGGCGAGUGGCGAACGGGUGAGUAACAUAUCGGAACAUACCCUAGAGUGGGGAUAACGUAGCGAAAGUUACGCUAAUACCGCAUACGCACUAAGGUGGAAAGUGGGGGAUCUUCGGACCUCAUGCUCAUGGAGUGGCCGAUAUCUGAUUAGCUAGUUGGUGAGGUAAAGGCUCACCAAGGCGACGAUCAGUAGCUGGUUUGAGAGAACGACCAGCCACACUGGAACUGAGACACGGUCCAGACUCCUACGGGAGGCAGCAGUGGGGAAUUUUGGACAAUGGGGGCAACCCUGAUCCAGCAAUGCCGCGUGAGUGAAGAAGGCCUUCGGGUU